Molecule: RNA transcript, 574 nt
Organism: Strongylocentrotus purpuratus (purple sea urchin)
Lineage: Eukaryota; Metazoa; Echinodermata; Echinoidea; Camarodonta; Strongylocentrotidae
Exons: 5
Source: RefSeq, a predicted model, not a curated record
UUCUCGAGCGAUGGAUUUUUGCAAGGGUAAGCCCCAUUUAGGGGAGGAACCUGAACAGCUCAUGGCUAUUGAGAAGGACUGGGGAAGUGGUAUGAUGAUGAUAAUAACUGCGAAUUCGAAAUACAUGACAGCCCAUGGUUGGAGCGAUGUUUAGAUGAUGCUACGGGAGGGAAGACCAAUCUGAAAUGGUUUGUCCCUCUCUGCGAAAAAUCACCUGCAAUAAAAUGGUUAUAUGAUCGUGGGGACGAGGUAAUUGGUGUGGAACUGGUCGGAAAAGCCAUCGAGAAAUUCUUCAAUUCGCGUGGUAUGAACUACACGAAAUCAGAUAUACCACAGCUAAAGUAUGGAUGCUUGUAUCAGAAUGAUGAUAAACGUAUCAAGAUCUUCAAGUGCAACAUAUUUGACGUCACACGAGAUCUAAUCGGAGGACCAGUAGAUGCUAUAUGGGAGAGAGGUUCUAUGCAAGAUAUCGACCAUCAUGAACGACCAAGGUAGGGGUACAACUUCGUUGGGAAUAUGAGUGUUUAUACUUUAUACUUUUAUUUAUUUUAAUACUAAAAAUAUAUUAUAAUAC